Molecule: long non-coding RNA, 8226 nt
Filed under: Triticum aestivum (bread wheat)
Lineage: Eukaryota; Viridiplantae; Streptophyta; Magnoliopsida; Poales; Poaceae
Description: long non-coding RNA (TAES_LNC025607)
Source: RNAcentral
AACUAGACACUAAGACCAGCAACUCGACACGACGAUGCAACCGAUAAUUCAACUAUGCAAGCAAUGAAUAGAAAAUUGCAAAGGCUCAGACUGGCUUGGAUAAAGGAUGAACAGAUCUAACUUUUUUUGUGGCUUUUUCAUGGACUGUAGGUAUGAAUGACAGAUGCGAUCUAAACUAUGAAAAAACUGUAAAAUCUCACCGAGCAACCUGAAAACUGAUACCACUUGAUAGAGGCGAGGGUGUCCCGAUCUUUCGAUGAGAUGAUAACUAUCGAUUUGGUGGAGACGACUUUGACGAUCCGACUACAAACGUGCACGACGUUGCGCCUUAGCAAUCGCUAAACCAAUCUCCUGAGGUUACUGACGAUGCCGGAAGCACGGCCAGCCUGACCACGAAGGUCUAUUCCUGCAAGCAAUCGAAGAACGAGCAAGAAUAUGAUAAAGCAAUCUGAAUAUUGCAAAUAUAUAUGAGGUAUUGAUAAUGGUGGGGAUCCAUAAGCGGUCUUGGUCUGGUCGUUGGACACAAACGAAGUACACGAAGUUGCAAUGGCUAACUUUUAACUAAACAAAUCCCAAGGAAAAAGCUACUAGAUGGAUCUACUUAUAUAGGAGCAAGGGGUGGCGGCCAAGGAGGUGGGAGGACGUCCCAAGGCAGCCUAAAACUAAAUCUAGGUCGUACAAGGCCAAUGGGCCUAAGUGGAGGUGAUGUAACACCUUUGGACUUGUAGUUUGACUCGGAUUCUGCUGCAGCAACAGAUUGUUUCGUCCACAACUCAACGCUCCGGACGAAUUUGAAGGUGAUUCCAAUUGAGUUGGAAAGUGCACGAAAUCUAGUUUCCAACAAAAAAAGAAUCACCCAAUUCGGAGUCCGUAUGAAAAACUUGUGUGCGUUUUGAGUCAGGUAUGUCUGUGCAGUCCGAAUCUGAAUCCAGAACGUGAGAGACUUGGACUCUAUCUUCUCUUGGGCCAAAAGUGACGUGAGAGAACUUUUUGAACAGCAAAUAAACAUCUCCUUCUUCCUUAUCUUCAUAUGUGGAUUGUACAAAUGUCCCAUACACCUGCAGUUAGACAAAACACAAAAGUGUGUGAAGUAUUUUUGUUCUGGAUAACAUAAAUAGAUUAUUGAAUAGUUUGCACUAGAAAUGACCUGACAAAUAUGCAUAUAUGCAAUAUUUUUGGUCAUAUCCAAGGUAGUCAUGUCCUCAUCAUAUUGUAAACAUGUAAAUCGUUGUUCAGUUUCUAACUCCCAAGUAAGAUAUAUAUCAGGAACAUAUCUACCCUCAAAUGGUGGAAUAUUCAAUUUCAGUUUAGGAAUAUGGACAUCAUCUCGUACCUGAGGUGGUGGUGCAGGCCUACCAUUACGAAUAUAUACCUGAGGUCGACCUGCUGGUGGUGGUACAGGUGGCUGCACGUAGUGCUGAUUUUGAUCAACCUCAUCCUCAUAAUCUCCCACAUAAUCAUCCUCCUCCGCAUCAGCAGCAGGAGCCACAGAAGUAUCAACAGCAGCACCAACAGUUUGGCCAAACGCAAGAGGAACACGGCUUGCUCGGCGGAGGUCUGUUUCGCGACGUGGAGGUAGUCGUUGUUGUUGUUGGAGAGGUGCGUUAGGUGCAGCGGGUGGUGGUGGUGGAAGACACGCGAGCAAUUCAUUAAACUUGUUAUCGAGCUUUGUUUCGAACGUCUUCUCAAGGCAGUGAUCUUCUCCAUGGCCUCUUCAAAAUUGUUCACCACAUCUUGCACCUGUUCAGUCAUCAUUUGCUGAAACUUAUCAUGAAGCUCCUUGUUCGAUAAAUUCUCCCAGUCAAUCUCGUCGGCUUGUGAUCCUGGCAUGGUUAGCAGCAAUAGAAACACACAAGAAUAUGAUCCUACAGACUACGAACAAGUGGUGGUGGUGGGUGUCACAAACCUGUCAAGCAAAACUCAAAUUCUUACCAGUUCUUACCCAGCAGCAGGCGGUGAUCGGCAACCGUUGUAGUCAAAACUCUCAAAGCUUGGAUAGAGCGAUUACCAGGGAGAGUCAAACACACGACGUAGAUGUAUGUGGAGCUGGGAAGGCUUAUAAUAUGGUAGCUAAAAGGGUCAGCAAUAAUCAAUUCAGAGAUGCAAAGUUGAAUAAACGCUCAACGACGGUACUGUGCUGGUCCUAGGCUAGACUGUGCUAGAGACGCGAGCCUAGAACACCAACAAAAUCACGGCGCGGCACGUAAACAAGGGAGGAGCACACUCUGAAUUUUUUUCUCUUUUUUUGCACUUUUUUUCCUCUUUUUUUUUUGCUCCGCAACAAAUUUUUUUUUUUGAAAAAGUCUACAAAUGGUCUAAAAACUGCCUAGCCAGAAUUUUCCAGACUUAGUUUUUUUUUUGAAAUUGGAACUAUUUUUCUUCUGCGGAUGGCUCAGAAGUUGGGGAGUCCUUCUCUGUCACGACUCGGAGUAUCGCGUGAUCUGGAAAUCGAGGACAAUGCAACAAUUACUGGACUCGGACUAGGACUGGUGGCGGAGAUGAAUCUGGUGGAACUCGGACUGGUGGCGAAGAUGAAUCUGGUGGAACACGGACAGGUGGUGGAUAUAUGUUGCAGGUGAACUCGGAUUGGCGUGAUGGCGGCGGAUAUGUGGUGGCGUAUAUGGAUUCGGAUUGACGGUGAAUAUGUGGUGGUGGUAUAUGGCAACAGCGACGAUGAUGAUGCGGUGGUGAUAUAUGGCAGCAGCGACGUGACAACCUAUGAACAGAACUCGAAACUCUAAAAGACUAGACGCUAAGACCAGCAACUGGACACGACGAUGCAACCGCAAAUUCAACAAAGCAAAUACAGAAAAGAUUAUGCAAGUCUCAGAUUGGUUCGGAUGGGAUGAACUAAACCUAAUUUUUUUUGGCUUUUUCGUGGACUAUAGGUAUGAAGAACAGACUCGAUCUAAACUACGAAAAACUGUAAAAUCUCACCGAGCAACCUGGAAAUCUGAUACCACUUGAUAGAGGCAAAGGUGUCCCGUCUUUCGAUGAGAUGAUGGAUAUCGCUUUGGUGGAAGUCGACUUUGACUAUCUGACUACGAACGUGCGAGGACGUCACGCCUUAGCAAUCGCUAAACCAACUCCGAGAGGUUAUUGACCACGCCGGAGCACGAUCAACCUGACCACGAGGGUCUGUUUCCUGCGAGCAAACGAAGAACAAGCAAGAAACUAAGAUUGCGAUCUGGAUAUUGCGAAUAUAAGAUGAAAGCUUUAUUGAUCAAGGUGGGGUUCUGUGACGCCUUUGUCUGGUCGUUGAACACAAACGAAGUACGCGAAGUUGCAGCUAUGGCGAACUUUUAAUCUAAAGAAAACCCAAAGUCUAAACGGUGCCCAAAGGGCUGUAUAUAUGGAGGAAGAGAGGGGGAAUUUCGUGGCCCUUGGUGGAGGGGUCCGAAAUCAACCCUAUCUCUUGUUUCCCCACACAUACGGACUCUAAAAAUAGCCUAUACCUAUGUAUUUCGAAAUUACAUAGGCCUGGCCCAAUAAAAAGGUGACGCAGCACCUAUAAUAGCCUCGGGACGAAAUUUAUGAAGUGGCAUCUUGUAUAUUUCGUCCAAGGCUUCAUGCACCCAUUAUGGUGGCUUCAAAGUCCUGAAAUCAUCACUUGUAACUCCGUUCUUGUUCCCCUUGCGCAUGGAAUCAUCUCCAUGCUUGUUCUUGCUCCAAUGUUCAUCCUUCUACAAGCUAGGCCCUUCAUUUGUAAGCAAAACAAAUGUAUCCAAUUUAGGCAGCAUCAUAUUCUCAUGAACAUUAGAAUCAUUACCAAGAAACGAAAGUACCUGAUAAUAUAAUUGGCGUGCGCGAGCUCUAGUAAUUGGUCCCGUAUAUGUAACAGUAGGGGAUGUGGGUGUAACAAUGGUAUUGAUGUCCUCAUCAUAGAGCCACUCAAUUCAUCAAGCAUAUCAUCGAGCCUAGGAAUAGGAUGACGAUAACGAAUACUAAUAUUAUUAAUGCCUCUACAAUCAACACACAUACGUGAUGUACCAUCCUUUUUCGGCACUAGAAUAAUAGGAACAGCACAAGGACUAAGGGAUUCGCGUAUAUAACCUUUGUCGAGAAGCUCUUGUACUUGACGCAUAAUCUCCUUCGUCUCAUCUGGAUUGGUACGGUAUGGUGCACGGUUUGGCAGUGAAGCACCGGGAAUUAAGUCAAUCUGAUGCUCAAACCCUCGAAUAGGCGGUAAUCCCGGUGGCACGUCUUGUGGAAAGACGUCAGCGAACUCCUGCAAAAUGUUAGUGACAGCAGGAGGCAAAGAGGAAGGCACGUCCUCGAAUGAAAAUAAUGCCUCUUUGCACACAAAAGCAUAGCAAACAGAUUUGCUGAAAUCUAGCUCAUCAAUAUCAGAUUUGGUGGCAAAUAAACAUGCACUUUUCAAUUUAAUUUCAGAAGCAACACUAGAUGGUUUAUUAUUAGGCUUCAUUUGUUGCUCAAAUUCUUUUGCCACAAUCUGAUUUUCACUCUUAUUCUUCUCCUGUUUUGCUUUAUUAGCUCUAUUAAUAUCAUCUUUCAAAAUGGAAUCAGGAGUCAUAGGAAGCAAAGUAAUAUUUUUAUCCUUAUGAACAAGAGUAUAGUGAUUGUUUCUACCAUGGUGUACAGAGUUUUUAUCAAAUUGCCAUGGUCUACCAAGUAAUAAGGAACAUGCUUGCAUAGGUACCACAUCACAAUCAACAAAAUCAGCAUAUGUAGAGAUACUAAAAUGCACAUGAACAGUACGUGUUACCUUAACCUUGCCGCUAUUGUUGAACCAUUGGAUGUAGUAAGGAUGUGGAUGUGGUCUUGUGGUGAGAGAAAGCUUCUCCACCAUCUCCAUGCUAGCCAAGUUGUUGCAGCUCCCUCCGUCUAUUAUGACGCGCACAGAACGUUCCUUCACAACUCCCUUGGUAUGGAACAAAUUGUGCCUCUGAUUUUGCUGAGCUUGUGUGACCUGCACACUCAAAACACGUUGAGCAACUAAACAUUCAUACCUGUCAGCGUCUUCAGCGUCUCCAGAAUCAUCUCCACCAUGUUCUUCACGUGUAAUAAGAGCCAAAGUCUCCUCAUCAUAGUCACUAGCGGACUCAUAUCCACCAUCUGCGGUAGCAAUCAUCACACGCGGAGAUUUGCAUUCUCUCGCAUAAUGACCUCCUCCCUUACAACGACGACAAAUAAUAUCACUUGUGUGCCCUGUUGAUGCCAUGGAAGAAGAAGAACUCUGUGCAGGCCCAGCAGGUGCGCUCUUGGCAGAUAAUAGUGGUUGUACCUGUUUUCUUGUAUCACGACUGGAGGAGGCACCUGAUUGAGGUGCUGGUGCAGUUGAAGUAGAAGAUGCACGCGGUGUCCAUGAUGAAGGUCGGCCUGCAGAAAAGUUAGAUCGCGCCAAUGCUUGUCGAUCCUGCACUUCACGUUCAGCUUUACAAGCAAGAUGGAAUAAACGAAUGAUAUUAGUAUACUCCUUAUAGUCUAGAAUGGUCUGAAUCUCUCUAUUUAAUCCACCCAGAAAACGUGCAAGCAUAGCUUCAUUCUCCUCAACAAUACCACAUCUAAUCAUGCCAGUUUGUAAUUCCUGAUAAUAUUCUUCUACAGAAUUUUUGCCUUGUCUUAAACGCUGCAAUUUUUGAAGCAAUUCACGUUGAUAAUAUGGUGGAACCCAACGCGUACGCAUAGCAGUUUUCAAAGAAGCCCAAGUAGUUGGAAUAGGAUAUAAUCUACAAUGUUCAGACCACCAUACACAUGCAAAACUAGUGAAAGCACAAACAGCAGCAGCAACCCGUCUCUCCUCGGGAUAUUGUAAACAUGUAAAACGUUGUUCAGUUUCUAACUCCCAAGUAAGAUAUAUAUCAGGAACAUAUCUACCCUCAAAUGGUGGAAUAUUCAAUUUCAGUUUAGGAAUAUGGACAUCAUCUCGUACCUGAGGUGCUGGUGCGGGCCUACCAUUACGAAUAUAUACCUGAGGUCGACCUGCUGGUGGUGGUGCUGGUGGGUGCACGUAGUUCUGAUUUUGAUCAACCUCAUCCUCAUUAUCGCCCGCAUACUCAUCAUCCUCCUGGGUACCAGCAGCAGCAGUAGCAGGAGCCAAAGAAGCAUCAAUAACAGGAACAGCAGCACCAGAAGUUUGGCCAUCCUCAAUAGGAACACGCUUCGCUCGUCCAUACUGAUUCGGAAGGAUGCGUUGUUGUUGGUGUUGCAGAGGUGCGAUAGGUGCAGCCGGCGGUGGUGGUGGUAAACGCGCGAGCAAUUCAUUAAACUUGCUAUCAAACUUUGUUUUGAACGUCUUCUCCAUGCCAUCUAUCUUCUCCAUGGCCUCGUCAAAUCUGUUUAGCACAUCUUGCACCUGUCCACUCAUCAUUUGCUGGAAUUUAUCAUGUAGCUGUUUGUUCGUCAGGUUCUCCCAAUCAGUCUCAUCGGCUUGUGAUCCUACCAUGGUUAGCAGCAAAUAGAAACACACAAGAAUAUGAUCCUACAGACUACUAAGAAGUGGUGGUGGUGUAUCACAAACCCGUCAAGCAAAUCUCAAAUUCUUACCAGUUCUUACCCAGCAGCAGGUGGUGAUCGGCAACCGUUGUAGUCAAAACUCUCAAAGCUUGGAUAGAGCGAUUACCAGGGAGAGUCAAACGCACGACGUAGAUGUAUGUGGAACUGGGAAGGCUUAUAAUAUGGUAGCAAAAGGGGUCAGCAAAAAUCAAUUCAGAGAUGCAAAGUUGAAUAAACGCUCAACGACGGUACCAGCUGGUCCUAGGCUAGACCGUGCUAGAGACGCGAGCCUAGAAUACUAACAAAAUCACGCCGCUGCACGUAAACAAGCGAAAAGCACACUCUGGAAUUUUUUUUUCGCUCUUUUUUUUGCGCUCUUUUUUUUGCGCUGCUUUUUUUGUUGCGAAAAAUCACUAUAAUGUCGAGUGUCUCAAAACUCUUCCUAGGUCAAACUGAAAGGAUGGGCACGAAAUUUUUUCGACCAAUUUUUUUUUUCGUUUUUUCGACUGCCCGGACCCAAAAACUGGAAAUGGGUCAAAAAAAAACUUCCUAUAAUGGCACCUGUCUCAAAACACUCAGAAACACCUAAAAAUAGGAUAGCCAGAAUUUUUUUCGAAAAAUGCAUUUUCGAAAAUUUUUGGGCCUAAACGGAGGGUGGUUUCCAGACUCUUUUUUUUUCGAAACCUACUCCGGCAAGGAAACACGAAUCGGAAACUAGAUGGAUCUCGAAAACACACCUAAUAUGCAAGGAACUCGGAUUGGUGGUGGAUAUAUGAUGGUGGUAUAUGGCAGCGGUGGUGGUAUAUGGCAGCGGUGGUAAUAUAUGGAUAUGGAUCGGUGGUGGUAUAUGGAUACGGAUUGGUGGUGGUAUAUGGACACGGAUUCGGAGCGGUGGUGGUAGGUGACAGGGGCGAUGAUGAUGGUGCGGCGGCGGCGUGACAACUUAUGACCAGAACUCGAAACUCUAAAAGACUAGACUCUAAGACCAGCAACUAGACACGACGAUGCAACCGCAAAUUCAACAAAGCAAAACCCUAAAAAGAUUAUGCAAAGGCUCAGAUUGGUUCGGAUAUGAUGAACUAACCCUAAUUUUUUUUGGCUUUUUCGUGGACUGUAGGUAUGAAGAACAGACUCGAUCUAAACUACGAAAAACUGUAAAAUCUCACCGAGCAACCUGGAAAUCUGAUACCACUUGAUAGAGGCAAAGGUGUCCCAUCUUUCGAUGAGAUGAUGGAUAUCGCUUUGGUGGCAGUCGACUUUGACGAUCCGACUACGAACGUGCGAGGACGUCGCGCCUUAGCAAUCGCUAAACCAACUCCGAGAGGUUAUUGACCACGCCGGAGCACGAUCAACCUGACCACGAGGGUCUGUUUCCUGCAAGCAAAUGAAGAACAAGCAAGAAACUGAGAUUGCAGUCUGGAUAUUGCGAAUAUAAGAUGAAAGCUUUAUUGAUCAAGGUGGGGUUCUGUGACGCCUUUGUCUGGUCGUUGAACACAAAUGAAGUACGCGAAGUUGCAGCUAUGGCGAACUUUUAAUCUAAACAAAACCCAAAGUCUAAACGAUGCCCUAAGGGCUGUAUAUAUGGAGGAAGAGGGGGGGGGGGAAUUUCGUGGCCCUUGGUGGAGGGGUCCGAAAUCAACCCUAUCUCUUGUUUCCCCACACAUACGGACUCUAAAAAUAGCAUAUACUUAUGUGAUAGAGGCGGGGUGUCCCGAUCUUUCGAUGAGAUGAUAACUAUCGAUUUGGUGGAGACGACUUUGACGAUCCGAC